Molecule: RNA transcript, 7318 nt
Organism: Macrobrachium nipponense
Lineage: Eukaryota; Metazoa; Arthropoda; Malacostraca; Decapoda; Palaemonidae
Gene name: phosphatidylinositol 3,4,5-trisphosphate 3-phosphatase and dual-specificity protein phosphatase PTEN-like
Exons: 12
Source: RefSeq, a predicted model, not a curated record
GGGAGUUUCUGGACGAGGUGCAGGGGGAAGAUGGCCGAGUCGUGUGGGGGGGGAAUGAGUGAAUGGUGUUGUAUAUUCAGUAGUAACUCGCUAGUAGUGUAACUAAUAGUGCAGUCGUGACUAAUAGUGUCGGGCAGGUUUCCUUAUAGCCCUCUCAUUUGACACGAUGAGUAAGGGAAUAAGGAAUCUAGUGUCAAAGAGGAAGAGAAGAUUCAAAGAAGAUGGCUACGACCUAGAUUUAAGUUAUAUCACAGAGCGGCUCAUUGCCAUGGGUUAUCCUGCACAGAAGUUUGAAGGUGUUUAUAGAAAUCAUAUUGAUGAAGUAUGCCGGUUUUUAGAGGACAAACACAAGGACCACUAUAGAAUAUAUAAUUUGUGUUCAGAAAAAAAUAGAUCCUAUGAUGAGGCGAGAUUCCAUAACCGUGUGAGAAAUUUUCCUUUCGCGGAUCACAAUCCCCCGCCACUUAUGGACAUAGAGCCUCUUUGUAAGGACAUGGCUGAAUGGCUGGAAGAUGAUCCUAAAAAUGUUGCAGUUGUUCAUUGCAAAGCUGGAAAGGGGCGUACAGGUGUAAUGAUCUGUUGCUACCUUCUGCACUGCAGGUCAAAACUCCUAGCACAAGAGGCUUUAGAUUUUUAUGGUGACAGAAGAACCUUAGACCGCAAGGGUGUUACUAUUCCCAGUCAACAACGCUAUGUUCAUUAUUAUGGACAACUAGUCGCUUCAAAUUUUAAUUAUAAUCCUCCUUUUGUUAGUCUACGUCAGGCUAGAAUGAAUGCGCCAUUAUCGAGUGUAAACUCAGAAGUGUACCUCACAGUUAGCUCCCACACCAACAAAAAAGGUUACAGUUCUCAACCAGGUGAUAUACGGAAAGGGAAGGAGUGGAUACACUUGCCUGUCAGGGAAGAAGAUGCCAGACCCAUGUCAGAGGAUAUCAAAAUCGAACUGAAACGCACAAAUUUUGUCAGACGAACGGAGAAACUCUUCAGUGCUUGGCUGAACACACACUUUAUAUUAGAGGAGGGCAAGAAGGUCACGAAUGGAUGUGACAUCAACACAUCAGACCAAAACAACCAUAAUACUCCUAAUAUAAGACAAAGAAGCAAUAGUUUCCGUCUGCCCAAACGUGAGAGCUUUAGGCGCAAGAAGAGCGUAACGGAAGAACCCCGUGCUCCACUCACUGGCCUUGGUGGCGGUGGUGGCAGCUGUGGGGGAAAGAAUAGUGAUGAGUGUAAGGGCCUUAAAGAAUACAAGGAGAAUUCAAAGAAAAAAUUAGAAGAAUCUGGAAGCAAGAGUCUCCCAACAGGCCACCUAAGCUGCCUUACAGAUGAGGAAUGGACUCCCAAUGGUGGUCAGAGUCCUCCCCCGCGCCCUCGCGUUCACAAUCGUCACCGCCGUCGACACCACACGCAGAAUCUCCCCAUGUGUGGGAGCGCCCGGGACUCAUGGGACUCUGAAGCCAGGGCUAGGGAACAGGAGGUCCAAACUAUUUUAACCAAAAACCAGUUGGAUAAGGCCAACAAAGACACCCACCACAAAUUAUUACCUAAGGACUUCCAGAUUGAGCUUUGGUGGCUGGUCACCUUUGUCAACAAAGGAGGCAGCAACGCCUUGGAGUCCCGGGAGAGCGGGUCCACCCCAAGUACAAUCACCCCUUCGGGUUCGUCGUCGGACGAAGAUGACGACGAUGACGAUGAUGAAGAGGAGGGAUCUGACUGGGAUUCAGAUGGCCACUGUCCAGAGCGCUACGUGGGUCGCUAUCGGCUCAUGUCGGACUGUUCGGCUGCCCAUCCGAAUCAUUACACGAUGCCGGAGGGCCCCACAUGACCCUAGCCCCCCACCUCCACACAACCUGCUUCCCCAUGACACACACAUGAAGUACAUCCCGUGAAUCUACAUAUUUGUGAACCCAUGAAGCUUUAGCAAGCAAUUGGAAAUAGAAGUACGUACCUGACCCACCGCUAAGAUGUAUGAAGCAUUUGAAGAUAUGCUCAUCGUCCACCAUUUUUCCUCUGGUAACUGAUACUCAGUCAGCUGUUAUAGUUGUUUCUAUAGAUUAAAAGAUAAUACUUUCUAACUAUGGCCAUCCCACCCAUGAUUUUUGUUGUAUAUUCAGUAAUAGGUUCAGCCUGCAGUGACAGGCCAAUGUCAUAAAAGAAAUUUUUAAAUAUCAUUUGUCUUACUGUUCAAUGUUAUAGCUUUAAAUUUGUAUUCCUACAAUAAACUUGUACCAAAAGUAAAAGCAAAGUGUAGCAAAGCUGCAUUAUUAUAAUAAUUUAAGGUUAAACAACUUUUUUACUAAAUGCAUUUUAGAUCUACAAUUAUGUUACUUUUUUCUCUUUCUUUUCUGAUGAUCUUAGUAGUUGUACAUAGAUCAAUUUAAUUGCGGUAAGAGUUAUGUACCAUUGUACCAUAUUUUUUUCAUUCAGUACAAUUGUCAAGACAAUUUCUUAAAUUCUGAGAACUUCAGCCUUCAUAUUGUAAUCAAACCUCUGAACAUUCUGUCAUCUGUAGUGACCUGUCAGAAAACCAUGGGACCUUUCAUCCUUGUCAACAUUUAUUUUUUAUCACGUCCACUUUGUCACAAUGGGUGUCUGCAUUAAUUAUGAAGGAUAACUUCUAAUUCUCAAAUCUGAUUGUCCAGGAAGGUAUGAUUUUUACGUUGUAAAAUAUAAGGUACUAGAAAAUGUAGUUAUAGUUCUAAUUACAGCAGAUUUAGGACUACGUAUUUCAAAAACAAAUACAUUGUUAAAUUUGUCUCAGGUAUAAGGUUGGUUCUGUUCUACAAUUCCUCUAUUCCCUUUGCCCUUUCUUUCAUAUCAUCACUAUUUAAAAAAUUGUGUUAAUUUUCAGUCAUUCUUACUUAAGAAAUGUUGAGACAUUACAGUUUUAUUAGAGUACCUUUCUAAAGAUGUUAAUAUUAUUGAAAACAUAUUUUAAUGAAAAUGUUUCCAAGAAUAACAAAAGAUGAACUGUAAAAACUAAUACGCAGUACUGCUUUUUAUAUAAGGAAAGAAUAUUUGAAUAUUUCAAUGCAUCUUUUUGAAAAGUUUCUAAGUAACUCAGUAGCUGAUACAACUGUCUUAUUAUAUAUACUAUAUAAAAUUUUUCCAUCCCCUUGAGAGACAGAGAAAGUGAAAGUUGCCCAUGUUAGAGUUUCGUUCCUCAUAUGGCGCACUUUGAUUCUUAAAUCUUUCUGUCAUUUGGCACCCAAAACUCAUUAGAUAUGAAGAUGGAUAGAAAAUAAUAUACUGUAUGUCCUUCUGUGGCCGAAAGAUAGACCUGUAGCUUAUUGUUGAGGAGAGUUGAUCCAACUGUACUCUUUCAAUUGUCACAUUUUAGCGAGAACACCAUUAAUGGGUAUGUUUUAUAACAUCUUUGUUAUAAUAAUGUCAAAGUUAUUUUUUUUAUCUACAGUGUACUUUUUUAUUCUUUAUAUAUGAUUUAUAAAUGAAAACUUUUUUAUGUUUGCCAUUAUACUUUUAUUUUUGGGUUGAACUAUUCAAAUUGAAUUGCAUACUUCAACAUAAUUGCUUAUUGCUAGAUGAUACAGGAUGUUUAGCACUCAAUGUGACCAGCUGCAAAGAUUUUAUUACAAAUUUUAUAAUCUUUGCCAUAUUUUACAUUGGCAUCUGACUUUACUCAGUUGUAAAACUAAAUAAGGUUAUGAGGGCUUCAUUAUUAUAUAAUUUCAUCAUGUAAUUUCUCUGAAAAUGUUGGAUAAUUACAAAUGAGCGUUCUUUAUUUCAUGAUGUGCAUCAGAACUUGGAAUAAUUACUCUUAUGAGAAUUUUUCUUGGUGUAAACAAAAUAAUUGUGUAGUGUCAAUUUUACUUAAGGAGACUAAACUGUUUUUUGUAGGCUGGAAUAGAACCUAAAUUAGCUUAAAUUCCUUUUAGAGGCUCAGUGUGGCAUUUUAUUUAUCUGUACUUAUCGAGAUCUGUAGAUAAAUCUAUCUACAACAUACACAGCACUUAUUAAGCAGUUCCAAAAACAAUUUUGCUGUAAAGCCACAAUGUCAGGAGACAGAGUGGAAAUCUCCAAAGGGAAAGUGGAGGCUUCUGAGAAAUUUGGUUAAAUUUGUUGACAUGGUAUUAAUGGAUGCCCCUGUAUUAAUGGAUGGCCCUAACCACAACUAUCUGUACUUGGGAAGACCUGUAAGAACCCAAGUAGUUCCAGAUCCCACUUUUUGGAAUCACUCAAGGGCAAAGUGCAUUACUCUGAGAUUUUGGGAGCUAUCACAUUGCCCAGCAUUAUCACAAGUUUGAGAUGUACUUCUACAUCAAUUUGAGAGUGCAUGUACAUCCUCCAAAUUGCUGGUUCUGGAUAAGGAAAGAAAAGUGUGAAUAUUUUAAAAUGAGGCUGCAAGUAGGGCAAUUACAGGGCAGUCCAAAUAAAAAAAAAGAAGAAGAAACACUUGAGAAAAUCAGAGAUGCAUGGAUGCCCAUAGGUUAUCACCAUUUAAUAGCAGGCAGUUUAGUAAAUAGCUAGAAUGUUUUCAACCUAUUUCAUACUUUGGGAUCCAAAGUAUGAAAUCCUUAUACAGUACAGAUUUUUCAUUCUGUUAAUAAAGUUGCAAUGUUUGUAAGCAGGCAUAAUUAACAAUCAUCCUUCACACUUGAAAAAUGAAAGGGUCACCAAACACUAUGGGGGAAAGUAGUCAUUAAGAAAUGUUACUUAAUGGUAAUAUCACCUAAAUACAUACACCAUACUAAAGUGUAUUUAAUGGUAAUAUCACUUAACGACAUCAAACUUCAGUGUAUUUUCAGCCAAGGAAAGUCAAAUACUGGGAGCAAAAAUAAGUAUACAAACUGCUGUUUGUAUAUACUUCAUGAAGUAUACGGAUCCAAGGUCAUGUUACUCAGUCAUAAACAUGAAGAUUUUUGGGAUUUAGAAAACUUUUUUUUUUUUUUUUCAUGUACUUCAAAAAUGUUCUUCAGCCAUGAAGUACGUACUUAGCUUGAAAUAUGAUCCUACAAUGUAUGUGUGGGUGUUGCCUUCAUAGCUUGCUUUAAUAUAUGAGGUGUCCAUGUACUGAAUGAAAAAAUUCAGUUUGGUUUCUGACAUUACUUUAGUACCAACAGACUCUUCAGGUUCUAACUCUAAUGUUUAAUAUCAGUACGUAUCUCUUAUAAUUGGGUUACCUAAAGUCUUAUUUCACUGUGUACAUUUUAUUUUGGAAUAAUUUCCAGUCAAUUAUACCCUCUGAUCAUGGGUUGAUUGUUUGAAGGAUGCAUUAGUACCUGUUAUUGAAAUUCUUGAAGUUUCCUCUCCUCUCAUAAUAAAGGUUUUAUUGUUACCACUAACAUGUGAAGUUAUAAUUUAACUAUGAUUUUAAGAAAUAUAGUUAUAUUUCAGAUUUGAACUAAUUGUUCCUGUCACUUAUCAUGUUUUAUGAUAGUUCAUGCCAUCAGAGUAAAUAGUGUGCAAUAAUUAUUCUAAAUUAGGAAAUGUAAAUUUGCUGGGUUUUCAGUAUUUAACAGAGCCAAGCCAAGUAGGUAUAAGUUUUACUUAAUAUUUGCUUGGAUGUCAUUAUUAUUCCUUAUAAAUUUUAAAGGAAAUUUCCCAUUGAAUGUCUGAAUAAGUUGAAUGUACUACCAUUAAUUUAAAAUCAUUCCUCAUGAUAACAGUUGAAAAAUUGAAAUAGUGCUCUGACUCACUAAUAGAAAGUUUCAUAGUAACUUCUUGUAUGAUGUACAUUUAAAUUUGAUUUUUAUAAUAAGAAUUUUAGAAUAGAUGAUUUCUAUUAAAGGUAUUUAUUUAUUUUUUAAAGUCUGCUAAUAUCACAUGCCAGCAAAUUUCUCAUUUAUACUGAACAUCUGUAGAGUUGUUUUUAUACAGUAGCUUACAGUAACCACAGCAGUGUAUUGACUGACGUGCAGAUUAAACUGAGGUAACUAAAGCACUAGCAACAGUGUAUUGUUCGUGAUGAUUUCUGUUCACAAGUGUUAUUGUUGGGGUAGCCUUAAAUAUACACUGUAUGUGUUUACAUAUAAACAUUUUAAAAAUCCUGUUUUAUUUGUGUUUGAUGUAAUCAAUAUUCUUACAAAGAGGUCAUUUAGCAUUCCACGGUAAACCAUACUUAACAUUUUAUGUACGUAUACGAUUACGCUCUGUCGUCGUCAGUCUGAUGUCAAGUUACAUUUGUGUACACUGUUCUUAUCAAUAAUUGCUGCCAUAGUAUAGGCUGCAAUUGUAAAGACCCACUAAAAAUUCAUGUGGUGUCCUUGUUCUCUCAUUCAUGCUUGGUAAGGGCAAAUCCAUACUGUACAGGUUUAUAAUGAAAGAGGCAUUGACACCCUCAUGUAUGUAACUGAAAUUGUUUAUCAGUUGUAUGUUAGCUGCAAAGACUAUUUCCACAGUCGGUGAAUGUGAAACAUCAGAAGGAAUAUCUUUUGUUUACAAUGAUCAGGUGCAGGAGUCAGAGAUACAAAGCAUGCUGUAGCAGUUAACAGAAUAUCUCAAGAGUGUUCAGUAACUUAGAAAGAAUUAGUAAUUAUAAUAUACUGUAGUAGCUAUUUUUUUAUUACCUAAUCUUAGUUGAUUUUACAUUAGAAAAGUACAAAAUACUGUUAGACAGUGUAGUCUCAUUCAUGCAUUUACCUAGUAUAUCUUAUUGUUUUACAAUAUUCUCUAAAAGAAAUAUAAUGAGGUAUUUUCUUCACUGAUAGAAAUUAUAUUGGUGGUGUUUUACAACUUGGUUGAUAUAGUGUGGAAUAAGGUCAUUUGAGUGUUAAAACUCAAAAUAUUAGAACCAAAGAAUAUCUUCCUCAUUACCAGUACUUUUCCUUUUACAGCUGUUGAUUGUGAAAUUUGUUGUUAAAUUUAGACUUCUGUUAUGCAUAUUAGGCUGUUGAGACUCCAGUUAAUAAAAUACUCAAUGUAUUUUGUGUCAUAGUUAUUGGGAGUGUCAGAGUUUGGAAUACUCUGUAAACAAAUUUUUUUUGUUAGUAAUGGAAUAUUAAUAUCAAGAAAUGCAGUUUCACAGCAGUUUACUGCAGUCUCAUUUCUACUGUAAUCCUAGAGGAACCUAAUACAGAUUCAUUUUUGUUUCAUUUGUGCUGUUAUUAUUAUUCAAAAUUUAGGAUGAGUUGUGUGCACCAUGUGCAGUCUUGUGAAAUCAAAGUUGAAGAUGAUUGUAGCAAUAACAUUGAAUGUUUAACAACUUUUGAUGGUUUUUCUGUUGAAUAUUUGUCUAUUAUACAAUUAAUAUAUGUGCAGAUAUUAAAUACAUUGCUGGUAGUGUGGAAUAAUACAAAAAUUUUUCAUCACUGGAUUAGAAUGCUUUCAAAUAAAUUACUAUUUUCAAAGCUUUGACCUA